Molecule: ribosomal RNA, 618 nt
Filed under: uncultured bacterium
Lineage: Bacteria
Description: bacterial SSU rRNA
Rfam family: Bacterial small subunit ribosomal RNA (bases 1-520)
Source: RNAcentral
CCUACGGGAGGCAGCAGUGGGGAAUAUUGGGCAAUGGAGGAAACUCUGACCCAGCGACGCCGCGUGCGGGAUGAAGGCCUUCGGGUUGUAAACCGCUUUCAGUAGGGAAGAAGCGAAAGUGACGGUACCUACAAAAGAAGCACCGGCUAACUAUGUGCCAGCAGCCGCGGUAAUACAUAGGGUGCAAGCGUUGUCCGGAAUUAUUGGGCGUAAAGAGCUCGUAGGUCGUUUGUUACGUCGGAUGUGAAAACCUGAGGCUCAACCUCAGGCCUGCAUUCGAUACGGGCAAACUAGAGUUUGGUAGGGGAGACUGGAAUUCCUGGUGUAGCGGUGGAAUGCGCAGAUAUCAGGAGGAACACCAAUGGCGAAGGCAGGUCUCUGGGCCAAUACUGACACUGAGGAGCGAAAGUCUGGGGAGCGAACAGGAUUAGAUACCCUGGUAGUCCAGACCGUAAACGGUGGGCACUAGUUGUGGGAACCUUCCACGGUUUCUGCGACGCAGCUACGCAUAGUGCCCGCCGUCGGGAGGUACGAGUCGCGAAGAAGUUAAACGUACGAAAGGAAAGUUAGUAACGGUACGUGUUAGACGUAGCCGAAGGACGACGACGAGGGAGGAGG